Cynoglossus semilaevis (tongue sole) is the source of this 440-nucleotide long non-coding RNA. RefSeq lists it as uncharacterized. The transcript is spliced from 4 exons. NCBI's taxonomy places the organism in Eukaryota, Metazoa, Chordata, Actinopteri, Pleuronectiformes, Cynoglossidae. The record is from RefSeq and is a predicted model, not a curated record.
CAGAUACACUCAGACGCUCUGCACUUUGAGCCGAGGGCGUCGAGCUUCCAGGACAGAAGAGUCAACGUUGACCAACUGCCGGGAAAAGAUCGACCGACGGACGUUUGUCAGAGUCUGAGUCUGUGGAUAAGAAGAAGAGACAACAUGUGGAGUCCCUGUGUUCAACAGUCAUGUUUGCACAGCAAACAGCAAAGAGCAACGACAGCUUACAAAUUAACAACAAGUGACCCCAACAAUGUCUACUGUGACCCACCGUUGGACCUCCACCCUCAGUUUUGGAAUGGCGGCCAGCAAUAGAAGGUCGUGACCAUCUAUGGUCAGUGAACGUGGAUCACCUGAAGUGCAGUGAGCCCCCUGGAGGUCAGGAGUCAUUAAUUCAGGAAAAGAAAACCAAAACAUUUACAGCGUAUCAAUUCUGCGUUGAUCACCUGUUGGUGCUU